GAUCAUGGCUCAGGACGAACGCUGGCGGCGUGCUUAACACAUGCAAGUCGAACGGAGCACCCUUGAUUGAGGUUUCGGCCAAAUGAUAGGAAUGCUUAGUGGCGGACUGGUGAGUAACGCGUGAGGAACCCGCCUUUCAGAGGGGGACAACGGUUGGAAACGACUGCUAAUACCGCAUGACGCAUUUUGAUCGCAUGGUCGAAAUGCCAAAGAUUUAUCGCUGAAAGAUGG
RNAcentral lists this ribosomal RNA (231 nucleotides) under uncultured bacterium. RNAcentral describes it as "partial 16S ribosomal RNA". It matches the Rfam family "Bacterial small subunit ribosomal RNA", at positions 15 to 228 of the family's 1533-position model. The record is from RNAcentral.